RNAcentral lists this ribosomal RNA (301 nucleotides) under uncultured bacterium. Its description in RNAcentral is "partial 16S ribosomal RNA". It matches the Rfam family "Bacterial small subunit ribosomal RNA", at positions 509 to 809 of the family's 1533-position model. The record is from RNAcentral.
CAGUAGCCGCGGUAAUACGAAGGGUGCAAGCGUUAAUCGGAAUUACUGGGCGUAAAGGGCGCGUAGGCGGGCUGAUAAGUCAGGGGUGAAAUCCCAAGGCUCAACCUUGGAACUGCCUUUGAUACUGUUUGUCUUGAGUUCGAGAGAGGUAAGUGGAACUGCGAGUGUAGAGGUGAAAUUCGUAGAUAUUCGCAAGAACACCAGUGGCGAAGGCGGCUUACUGGCUCGAAACUGACGCUGAGGCGCGAAAGCGUGGGGAGCAAACAGGAUUAGAUACCCGUGUAGUCCCUGUCUCUUAUAA